GUAGGAGGCGAGCGUUAUCCGGAUUUACUGGGCGUAAAGCGCGUGCAGGCGGUCUGGUAAGUUGGAUGUGAAAGCUCCUGGCUCAACCGGGAGAGGUCGUUCAAUACUGCCAGACUCGAGGACGGUAGAGGAGAGUGGAAUUCCCGGUGUAGUGGUGAAAUGCGUAGAUAUCGGGAGGAACACCAGUGGCGAAAGCGGCUCUCUGGGCCGUUCCUGACGCUAAGACGCGAAAGCGUGGGUAGCGAACGGGAUUAGAAACCCCGGUAGUCCACGCUGUAAACGAUGCAAACUUGGUGUUGGUGGCGUAAAAACCUUCAGUGCCGAAGCUAACGCGAUAAGUUUGCCGCCUGGGGACUACGAUCGCAAGAUUAAA
RNAcentral lists this ribosomal RNA (373 nucleotides) under uncultured bacterium. RNAcentral's name for it is "bacterial SSU rRNA". It matches the Rfam family "Bacterial small subunit ribosomal RNA", at positions 527 to 898 of the family's 1533-position model. The record is from RNAcentral.